RNAcentral lists this long non-coding RNA (434 nucleotides) under Sus scrofa (pig). RNAcentral's name for it is "lncRNA (ENSSSCG00040060712.1)". Lineage: Eukaryota; Metazoa; Chordata; Mammalia; Artiodactyla; Suidae. The record is from RNAcentral.
CAUGGCAUAUGGAAGUUCCAGGCUAGGGACUGAAUCAAAGCUGUAGCUGAUGGCCCACACCACAGCUACAUCUGUGACCUACACCACAGCUCAUGGCAACACCAGAUGCUUAACAUACUGAGUGAGGUCAGAGAUCAAACUCAUGUCCUCAUGGAUACUAGUUGUGUUCUUUACUGCUGAACCACAAUGGGGACUCCCUUAGUGCUUUCCCAAUAAAUUUUCUGGGCUUCUGUUUCCUAGGGAACCUGACCUAAUACAAUCACUCUUUGCAAUGAAAUCGAGGAAAGAAUGUCUGGAAUCCAAGGAGUUCUCUGUUGUAUUUUUGGUGCUUCCUUGCUGGUAAUAAUAAUGAACAGGGUAUCAAAGUAGUGCCAGCCUGGACUGAGGGUGCCAUGGCAUAACUCCUAUACUGCCGCUAGCUCAGGCACCAGAAG